Toxocara canis (dog roundworm) is the source of this 72-nucleotide transfer RNA. It matches the Rfam family "tRNA". Rfam says of the family: Transfer RNA (tRNA) molecules are approximately 80 nucleotides in length. Their secondary structure includes four short double-helical elements and three loops (D, anti-codon, and T loops). NCBI's taxonomy places the organism in Eukaryota, Metazoa, Nematoda, Chromadorea, Rhabditida, Toxocaridae. The record is from Rfam.
GCGACAGUAGCUCAGUGGUAGACCCCCCACCUCGCAUGCGGGGAGACCUGGGUUCGAUUCCCGGCUGCUUCC